UUAAGUUCAGCGGGUAUCCCUACCUGAUCCGAGGUCAACUUUAUAAAAAUAAUGGGUAAGACCGGGCCUGGACUUCUAGCCAAUACGUGCUCCGAAGAAGCUCAGUGUACUGGAGUCCUCACAGACGCCGUCAUUAUCUUUGGGGCGGGCGACCGACAAACGACCACCGACGUCCAACAACAAGCCGAGCUUGAGGGGUA
This 200-nucleotide unclassified non-coding RNA is filed under the name Chaetothyriales sp. RNAcentral's name for it is "partial internal transcribed spacer 2". Lineage: Eukaryota; Fungi; Ascomycota; Eurotiomycetes; Chaetothyriales. The record is from RNAcentral.